Molecule: long non-coding RNA, 2416 nt
Organism: Amphiprion ocellaris (clown anemonefish)
Lineage: Eukaryota; Metazoa; Chordata; Actinopteri; Pomacentridae
Exons: 3
Source: RefSeq, a predicted model, not a curated record
CUUGAGGAGCAGCAAGCAGCGCUGUCUUGCUAAGAACAUGCAACAGCAAACAGAGAAUCCUGCAGAGAGUGAUCGGGGUUUGAACACACUGAGGGCCUCUCCCUGUCUCAUCAGCCCGCUUUUUACUUCCAAACUGGAGAGGAAGAAGUGGCAGGAUGACAAAGGCUGCAACUGCCUUUUCUUCUCCUUAAGCAGGCUGAAAAAUGACAUAAUGGCAGUCAAGCUCAGUGAAGCUGGACUUCUCAUUUGGAUCAAUCACAGCAAGAAGGCAGCCAGUGGUUUCUGCAGCAGAUGUUAUUACAGGACUGAGCAGGAUUGCAACAUCAAGCUAACUCAUUGUCUCCAUUAAAAAGCUGAACAGGUUUACGAGUUGUACAAAGAUUCCUUUUCUUGCAGAAUGAGACACACAGAGCUCAGGUUUCCUGCUGGGACUGCCACUCUGGGAUGACUUUUCUGAAGAUGCAGAACUUAGCUCAUUAGUGAGCAUUGAACCAAACAGGAAUUGUUCACAGUGGCUAAGUUCAGUGUCUGACAUGAAAGAAUGAGCUCUUGCAUACCUGAGAGUCUUUGCCGUCCCCAAACACAGAGGAAGAAGGAUGCACGGGAUGAAAAAGCACCUGAACUGUAAAACUAAGAGGAAUGCUUUAAAAGUCUUUGCAUGUCCAGACAAACAUAUGCAGUCAGUUUAUUUUGAUAUAUGGGGGUUUUAUGGAGAAGAAGAAGGGAAAAGGGCAACAAUGAAUGACGGAUGGUCUAGCCUGUGAUUUGUGAAGUUCUUUCAACACUGUAUGUCUAUUUUUGUAGGGAUUAUCAAUGAAAUUUGUAAAAUGUCUAAUGCAAAAAUGAUUUCUGCAACAAACCUGCUUUUUGUUUGCUUUUCAGAAUGUAAAAUAGAACCACAUCUCGUUCAAAUUCAUGCUAUCAAUCAUUUUGGAGAGUGUGAUAAUGAGGCAUUUUCUGGGUUGCGUACUCAUGUGCCUACUGAACUGGAUUCAGUGUGUCUUUGCAGAACUGGCUCAGUCCAGCAGGAACAAGAGUGACACCUAAGACAUCAUCAGUGAUAACAGGGCCAUCAUCAUUGUCCCCAUUAAAUCGAUCAGAAGUAAGACACCAAAAAUGAUCACAAACAGCCUCAGUACCAAGUAUUUCGUCAGGAAUGGUGACAUAAAAAAUGAUGCGUGUGUUCCUCCAUCUCAGCGUGCGUGUGUGUGUGUGUGUGUGUGUGUGUGUGUGUGCGUGUGCGUGUGCGUGUGCGUGUGCGUGUGCGUGUGCGUGUGCGUGUGCGUGUGCGUGUGCGUGUGUGUGUGUGUGUGUGUGUGCGUGUCGUAAUUUGUCUUCCUGUGUGGGGGUAUGUGUCUGCCUGCACGGGAAGUCGUUAUCAACAGCAGCUGAUUUGUGCUGAGUAACACUUUACGUUGCCUCUCUUCAUUCCUCACACUAUAAUAAGCUGUCAGUGUGUCUGCAAGUGUCUUCACAAAAUUGGGAUACAGCAGCUCAACACCUCUGCAGUCAUUAUAUACCUGAAUGGGCAGGCGCCGCAUUAGCAUAAGUAAAACUGAUCAUCAUGAGACAUGCUAUUGAUUUCGGAUGCCCUCAGUUGUCGAAGUGCCAUGUGAACAAUUACUUUUCACCUUGGACCAUCUUCCCAUGGACUCAUUCAUUAAAAAAUCUGCAGAGAUGUGCAAAAACUAAUAUAGCUUGCUCAAAAAGAAGAAGGUCUGAACUGCAAUAAAAUUUCAUAUUGAUUUUCAUUAAAUCAGUCCACACAUCUGUGGUGCACAACUAAACUGCAAGAGAGCGUCCAAGUAUGGAAUUUUUAUUUAAUAUAUAUGUGAUGACUUUUGCUGCUUCAUGGUACAAUUUACAUCAUUAUUUACUGUCUGCAGAAGGUGUGAAGUGCAUCGAAGAAGUCUUUUCUGUGACACUGUGGUUAACAGUAAGGAAAGGAAAGAAACUGGUGCACAUUUGUGCAAGUUUGACAAAACAGCCAGUUGCAGAGCAGCAGUAGCAGCAGUGAGUCAUUAACUUGUGUUUAGAUGUAAAAAUGAUUAACAGAUGAUAAACUUUACAAAGACAGAUUUUAUGUACAAGCUCACUGCAGAUAUUCAUUUGCAUAAUGCUGCCACGCUUGCACCUCACAGGCGAGUAUCAGCUUGGAUUAUUUCACUGCAUUGAAUGAAUUUGUGACACAGCCUCAACUGAAACACACAGAGUUUCACAGGGGAACAAAGGUUAGGUUUAGAUUUGAACUGAUUUGCAUAAUAGCAUGAAUGUGUUGGUUUUAUCACUUCCUCCUGUAACCGAUGGCUUCUCUUCUCUGUGUUGUAUUACUUCAGCCGACACAUACGCCUUUUUUUUUGGAGGCGAUCUCCAUGUAUUACAGCCCUUUACAGUCAAUAAAAAUGACAAACAAAAU